ACAAACCGGAGGAAGGUGGGAUGACGUCAAGUCCUCAUGGCCCUUAUGGGUAGGGCUUCACACGUCAUACAAUGGUCGGUACAGAGGGUUGCCAAGCCGCGAGGUGGAGCCAAUCCCUUAAAGCCGAUCGUAGUCCGGAUCGUAGUCUGCAACUCGACUACGUGAAGUCGGAAUCGCUAGUAAUCGCAGAUCAGCAUGCUGCGGUGAAUACGUUCCCGGGUCCUU
RNAcentral lists this ribosomal RNA (225 nucleotides) under uncultured Thauera sp. RNAcentral's name for it is "partial 16S ribosomal RNA". It matches the Rfam family "Bacterial small subunit ribosomal RNA", at positions 1158 to 1382 of the family's 1533-position model. Lineage: Bacteria; Pseudomonadati; Pseudomonadota; Betaproteobacteria; Rhodocyclales; Zoogloeaceae. The record is from RNAcentral.